Molecule: ribosomal RNA, 402 nt
Filed under: uncultured bacterium
Lineage: Bacteria
Description: bacterial SSU rRNA
Rfam family: Bacterial small subunit ribosomal RNA
Source: RNAcentral
UCGGGAAUUUUGGGCAAUGGGCGAAAGCCUGAUCCAGCCAUGCCGCGUGAGUGAUGAAGGCCUUCGGGUUGUAAAACUCUUUCGACGGGGACGAUAAUGACGGUACCCGUAGAAGAAGCUCCGGCUAACUUCGUGCCAGCAGCCGCGGUAAUACGAAGGGGGCUAGCGUUGUUCGGAAUUACUGGGCGUAAAGCGCGCGCAGGCGGCUAUCCAAGUCAGUGGUGAAAGCCCGGAGCUCAACUCCGGAACUGCCAUUGAAACUGUUUAGCUUGAGGACGAGAGAGGUGAGUGGAAUUCCCAGUGUAGAGGUGAAAUUCGUAGAUAUUGGGAAGAACACCAGUGGCGAAGGCGGCUCACUGGCUCGUAUCUGACGCUCAGGCGCGAUAGCGUGGGGAUCAAACA